Molecule: non-coding RNA, 86 nt
Organism: Desmophyllum pertusum
Lineage: Eukaryota; Metazoa; Cnidaria; Anthozoa; Scleractinia; Caryophylliidae
Source: the annotation of a GenBank genome assembly
GCUCCCACGAGCCACCUGUAGUUCAGCCGGUAGAACAUCCGACCGGCGUGUGCGGAAGGUCAUAGGUUGGACUCCUGUUGGGAGAA